CAGAGUUUGAUCAUGGUCAGGAUGAACGCUAGCUACAGGCUUAACACAUGCAAGUCGAGGGGAAACGACAUCGAAAGCUUGCUUUUGAUGGGCGUCGACCGGCGCACGGGUGAGUAACGCGUAUCCAACCUGCCCACCACUUGGGGAUAACCUUGCGAAAGUAAGACUAAUACCCAAUGACGUCUCUAGAAGACAUCUGAAAGAGAUUAAAGAUUUAUCGGUGAUGGAUGGGGAUGCGUCUGAUUAGCUUGUUGGCGGGGUAACGGCCACCAAGGCGACGAUCAGUAGGGGUUUUGAGAGGAAGGUCCCCCACAUUGGAACUGAGACACGGUCCAAACUCCUACGGAGGCA
Molecule: ribosomal RNA, 351 nt
Filed under: uncultured bacterium
Lineage: Bacteria
Description: bacterial SSU rRNA
Rfam family: Bacterial small subunit ribosomal RNA
Source: RNAcentral